This 254-nucleotide unclassified non-coding RNA is filed under the name plant metagenome. RNAcentral describes it as "partial contains small subunit ribosomal RNA, internal transcribed spacer 1, and 5.8S ribosomal RNA". The record is from RNAcentral.
UUUCCGUAGGUGGACCCGCGGAAGGAUCAUUAAAGUUAUAGUCCCCCGGCCCCUCCGGGCUGGGGUCUUCUAUACCACCCUUUGUUUAUUACACCUUUGUUGCUUUGGCAGGCCUGCCCUCGGGCUGCUGGCUCCGGCCGGCUCGUGCCUGCCAGAGGACCUAAACUCUGUUUGUAUAUGAAGUCUGAGUACUAUAUAAUAGUUAAAACUUUCAACAACGGAUCUCUUGGUUCUGGCAUCGAUGAAGAAGCAGC